AUUGCUUCCAAUAGACUGCCCUCGAGGUUACCCACAAAAAACAGAGAUGGAAACUCUGCUUUUGGAAAACUCCUCGAAGUGAGGAGUUCCAAUUUUCAACAAAAACUGGCUUCUUGGUUUCUGACUUGGUAUCUAAAGCCCAGUGCCUGGCCUUCCUUCGAAGGUAUCUCGUCUGGGCCACGCGCAGAGUCUCUCCCCAGCGAUGAUGAGCUCCAGAGCUUCCGCUGGAAGUCGCAGCCACCCUCUGCCGCCUUCAGGGCCGGCCAGCAACUUCUUUCACAAUCUUCCCCAAGUUUGGAAGCUUCCAUCAAGUGUCCUGGCUCUGGCCCAUCCGUCUUCUGUCUCCGGGCUUCCCCGGACUCUCAAGCUUGCCAGCCUGGGGCUCCGGACCCCCUGCACCCCGGCGGAGCUCAGUCUUGGGCCUCCCCCGGGGGUCCCUCCUUUCCCCGCCUUUACCUGACGCCCGCCAGCCCGCCCGCGGCUUGGGGCUCAGCAGCCUCCUCCCACCGCCGGCCCUUCCAUUGGCUCGGGCGGCUGCCCGUCUCUCCCUUCAGCCCUUGCUCGGGACCGGAGGCAGGUUUUGCCAAAGGAGCGGUCGCCGCUCCAGCUCCAGCCCGGGCAGCAGCUCCGGGAGGAGAGAGCAGGCAGGGCAAGCGGGCGCGGGAGGGAACGGUGGAACGGGGUGUCGCUGCUGGCGCCUGCUUAGCAUGUCCCUGCGUACAGGAGUCCCCCCACGACGCCGCCGCCUCCCCAGCACCGGCACCAGCAGCAGUAACAGCAGCAGCAGCGCCACCGCCGCCGACUGCGGAGCAGCAAACUUGGCGGCGGUGUCUCCCUGCCCCGAGCUGGCCAUGUAGCAGCCCGCGGUGCUUCCCCUGGACCGCCGUGCGCGCCUCUCCCCACCUGGCCAGGGGGAAGAGAGUGAGAACCAACCCGAGGCUAGGCAGCGCGGCAUGCACACCGCAGACGCGGGCCCCUGACGUGGGCGUCCCGAGUAGUGUCCCGGACCCGGGGUCAGUCCCCUUCGGCCGGUGCCGGGGCUGCACUUUGGGGAGAGCGAGGGAAAUGGGCGAGAAACUUUCGGAGCCGCCGGAGCUAGUGCCCCGCCGCGGCUGCAGUAACAGCAGCAACAGCCUGAUCCCGGCUCUGGCAGCCGUUCCCGCUGCAGCCGCGUCCCCCUGCACCGACUCAUCUGUGUCCUCUUCUGGCUCCGAAACUCUGUCGGAGGACGGGGAGCCUAGUGCCCAGACCACCUCCUCCUGCGGUCAGCAGCAGCAGCCGCCACUGCCGCCUCCUCCUGCUCAGCCAGACCCGGGCGCAGAAGGGCCGGGAGAAGCUCGACAGCGGCUGCAGCUGGAGCCGCAGGCGGAUCGCUGUGCUGCCCGGCAGCCCGCUAGCCUGGGAGCCGUGCUGCCCGGGGCUGAGCGCAGCAGCGCGUCGCAGGAGGAACAAGAUGAAGAGGAAAACAUGACAUAAUGAAUUAUUGUUCUACAAAAGUUUACUUUUGGAAUUGGC
This 1515-nucleotide long non-coding RNA is filed under the name Phascolarctos cinereus (koala). Its description in RNAcentral is "lncRNA (ENSPCIG00000036882.1)". The record is from RNAcentral. Lineage: Eukaryota; Metazoa; Chordata; Mammalia; Diprotodontia; Phascolarctidae.